AGUCUCAUAGUCUUCUAUGAGCCUGCUAUACAGGCACUUGAGAAGAGCACAGAGUUCUGUUGUAGGCUCUUCCUGGGAUUCUGGAAGACUCUCCUGAUCCAUGUCAGUGGGGAAUCUGGGGCCACUCAUGAAUCUUCUGUAGGGCCAAGCUAAUCCUGGUACACUUAAGAGAGUUACAGGAUCUGAAAGCCAUUUAAUAUAAAGAAAUGUUGAAAAAAACCUAAGGAUAUUUAACCCAGAGAAGAGAACUCUUGUUGGAAAAUGACUGGGGCAGUUCCAGGCUUUACAUGGCAUUCAUGAAAUCUAGAGGAAGAAAGAACAUGACCUCCAGUGCCUUAAAAAAGAACAAAGAGACUUAUUUUCUAGGAGCCUCCAGCAAACCCCCUGUGUGAGUCAGGAUCUUCCAAGAGCUGACAUCAAGAAUCCCCUCCACCGUAGCAUCAGGAAAAAGGAUGUUGGUUGCCCUAGUUGCUUCGGGCAGUCAUUUUGAGAUCAUGAGUGACCCUGGCAUGAAGACAAGGCUGGCACAUAGAAGGAGGUGAAGUCUGGAGAGUAAGAGGAUCCAGAGUGGGAGCCCUAUUUGUACUGCCCACAGCUUGAUCUGCCUCUAGUUCUCUUAUUCUACAAGAGAGUACAUUUCUUCAACGUUUAAGCCAGCUAGAGGCAGCUUUUCUGUAACUUGCAGCCAAAACCAUCUAAAUUGCUACCAAUAGUAGAGUUGGUUCCUUUUCUAGGAUUUAUUUCCCUCUUUUCAUGACAAAGGAAAUAAGUCCCACCAUUUUGCCUCGUGUUUUAAAUGGGAGAGACGAUCUCUUAGUUCC
Canis lupus familiaris (dog) is the source of this 821-nucleotide long non-coding RNA. RefSeq lists it as uncharacterized. The record is from RefSeq and is a predicted model, not a curated record. The transcript has 4 exons. Lineage: Eukaryota; Metazoa; Chordata; Mammalia; Carnivora; Canidae.